This 66-nucleotide small RNA is filed under the name Pseudogracilibacillus auburnensis. Its description in RNAcentral is "Bacillaceae-1 RNA". It matches the Rfam family "Bacillaceae-1 RNA". Lineage: Bacteria; Bacillati; Bacillota; Bacilli; Caryophanales; Bacillaceae. The record is from Rfam by way of RNAcentral.
AACAGAGGAACGCAGACUAAGAACGCCACGUCCUGUGGCGACGUCUGCGCUAGUACAUCCUGUACG